UACGAAGGAUGCGAGCGUUAUCCGGAUUUAUUGGGUUUAAAGGGAGCGUAGGCGGUCUUAUAAGUCAGUGGUGAAAUCCUAUCGCUUAACGAUAGACGUGCCAUUGAUACUGUAGGACUUGAGUACAGAUGCCGUUGGCGGAAUGUGUCAUGUAGCGGUGAAAUGCAUAGAUAUGACACAGAACACCGAUUGCGAAGGCAGCUGACGAAACUGUAACUGACGCUGAGGCUCGAAAGCGUGGGGAGCAAACAGG
RNAcentral lists this ribosomal RNA (253 nucleotides) under uncultured bacterium. RNAcentral describes it as "partial 16S ribosomal RNA". It matches the Rfam family "Bacterial small subunit ribosomal RNA", at positions 524 to 776 of the family's 1533-position model. The record is from RNAcentral.